This 436-nucleotide ribosomal RNA is filed under the name uncultured bacterium. RNAcentral describes it as "bacterial SSU rRNA". It matches the Rfam family "Bacterial small subunit ribosomal RNA", at positions 28 to 444 of the family's 1533-position model. The record is from RNAcentral.
GAUGAACGCUGGCGGCGUGCUUAACACAUGCAAGUCGAACGAAGCACUUUAUUUGAUUUCCUUCGGGACUGAUUAUUUUGUGACUGAGUGGCGGACGGGUGAGUAACGCGUGGGUAACCUGCCUUGUACAGGGGGAUAACAGUUGGAAACGGCUGCUAAUACCGCAUAAGCGCACGGCAUCGCAUGAUGCAGCGUGAAAAACUCCGGUGGUAUAAGAUGGACCCGCGUUGGAUUAGCUAGUUGGUGAGGUAACGGCCUACCAAGGCGACGAUCCAUAGCCGACCUGAGAGGGUGACCGGCCACAUUGGGACUGAGACACGGCCCAAACUCCUACGGGAGGCAGCAGUGGGGAAUAUUGCACAAUGGGCGAAAGCCUGAUGCAGCGACGCCGCGUGAGCGAAGAAGUAUUUCGGUAUGUAAAGCUCUAUCAGCAGGG